RNAcentral lists this ribosomal RNA (573 nucleotides) under uncultured Prochlorococcus sp. Its description in RNAcentral is "bacterial SSU rRNA". It matches the Rfam family "Bacterial small subunit ribosomal RNA", at positions 44 to 663 of the family's 1533-position model. The record is from RNAcentral. Lineage: Bacteria; Bacillati; Cyanobacteriota; Cyanophyceae; Synechococcales; Prochlorococcaceae.
GUGCUUAACACAUGCAAGUCGAACGAACCUUCGGGUUAGUGGCGGACGGGUGAGUAACGCGUGAGAAUCUGCCCUCAGGAGGGGGAUAACGGUUGGAAACGACCGCUAAUACCCCAUAUGCCGCGAGGUGAAAUGAAUUUCGCCUGAGGAUGAGCUCGCGUCUGAUUAGUUAGUUGGUGGGGUAAAGGCCUACCAAGACAUCGAUCAGGUAGCUGGUCUGAGAGGAUGAUCAGCCACACUGGGACUGAGACACGGCCCAGACUCCUACGGGAGGCAGCAGUGGGGAAUUUUCCGCAAUGGGCGAAAGCCUGACGGAGCAACGCCGCGUGAGGGAUGAAGGCCUCUGGGCUGUAAACCUCUUUUAUCAAGGAAGAAGAUCUGACGGUACUUGAUGAAUAAGCCACGGCAAAUUCCGUGCCAGCGGCCGCGGUAAUACGGGAGUGGCAAGCGUUAUCCGGAAUUAUUGGGCGUAAAGCGUCCGCAGGCGGUCUGUCAAGUCUGCUGUUAAAGCGUGGAGCUUAACUCCAUUUCGGCAGUGGAAACUGACAGACUAGAGUGUGGUAGGGGCAGAGG